RNAcentral lists this ribosomal RNA (405 nucleotides) under uncultured bacterium. RNAcentral describes it as "partial 16S ribosomal RNA". It matches the Rfam family "Bacterial small subunit ribosomal RNA", at positions 28 to 526 of the family's 1533-position model. The record is from RNAcentral.
GAUGAACGCUGGCGGCGUGCCUAACACAUGCAAGUCGAGCGAAGCGGGGACGGGUGAGUGACACGUGGAUAACCUCCUAUAUGACUGGGAUAACUUCGGGGAACCGGAGAUAAACCCGAUACUUAUAGAUGGAUCCGCGCUGCAUUAGCUAGUUGGGAAGGUAACGGCUUACCAAGGCAACUAUGCCUAGCCGACCUGAGAGGAUGACCGGCCACACUGGAACUGAGACACGGUCCAGACUCCUACGUGAGGCAGCAGUAGGGAAUCUUCCGCAAUGGGCGCAAGCCUGACGGAGCAACGCCGCGUGAAUGAUGAAGGUCUUCGGAUCGUAAAAUUCUGUUAUUAGGGAAGCGGUACCUAAUCAGAAAGCCACGGCUAACUACGUGCCAGCAGCCGCGGUAAUUC